Molecule: long non-coding RNA, 2126 nt
Organism: Mytilus californianus (California mussel)
Lineage: Eukaryota; Metazoa; Mollusca; Bivalvia; Mytilida; Mytilidae
Exons: 4
Source: RefSeq, a predicted model, not a curated record
AGUCGCCGUCAUGUAAAAUUGGCACCGUGUUUUUUGUAGAAAUUUUUUUAAAUAUCAGCCGCGUUCACUCGAGAUGACGUUUUUCAAUAAGCGGAAUAAAAAUCCUUUCCAAAUAUCCACUACUGUCCUACCUUUUAUUGUGUUUGCACUGUAUAAUCCUGACCUUCACAUUAUUCAAGAUUAUUUACAUUGUUAAUCCGCCAUCAUGGUUUCUAUGAGGAUCCUUUAUUUACAUAACAUUCGUUACUCUCCGGCAAUAUCCGUGUCAUUGAUGUGAUACAGUUUCCCGCGCUUUUUACAUGUAAACAAUAACACGAGUUGUGUAAUCGACAAGAUAAAUAUGUUACCUGAAUAUGACCCGGAGAAUGGACAGAAUGGUGUUUACACGAAGAAACAAUGAAAUAAAAAGAUGUUGAAACCAGUAUAUCACAGAUGUUGAAACUACGGUAUAUCACAGAUGUUGAAAGUAGGGUAUAUCACAGAUGUUGAAACUAUAUCACAGAUGUUGAAACUAUAUCACAGAUGUUGAAACUAUAUCACAGAUGUUGAAACUAUAUCACAGAUGUUGAUUUAAUGUAUACAGAAUGGGUUAAUAGCAAUCACUCAACUAACUGUCCAGAAACUGUUAUCAAAGAAUCAGUAACCGAAGAUUAAACAAAGACUAUUUUGCUGAUGACUACAGAGCAAAAAAAUAUUUCCAAUAUGUAUAGAUAUGUACUUCAAUACUGAAAUGUGUAUUUAAUGCAGAGCUUGCUGCAGACUUGGCAUGGUCACUGACUGGGAUUUCUUGUGCAGAUCAUAGAUGGUCCUUCUCACCACACCUUUGUCGAAAUCAUCCAACUUCUGGUUCUUCUUGACAGUUUUCUGGACAGCAGCCUUAUGAACUGCCUUCACCACAUCCUGCACAGCAUCAUCACUGGCAUCUGUAUGGACAUAACGUCGCAGUGUUGUUGGUUUAAUCCCUGAAAUUUCAAUUGUCCAUGUAUUUCAGCAUAUAACAUAAAAAUGAUAGAAAAAACUUGUAUAUAAUUGUAUAGAGUGGAUUCAAGGUGGUUGGGGGCAUUUAUAUAUCUUCUUGUUUGCAUAGUCAUAAAAAAUUGUUGUUCGACUUGCAUAGCUUGACAAUAUAUUUAAGGAAUAACAGUACUGUAGUUGAAGAGUUGCCACCGUCAAUUGUCGAUUUGACGAUCGCAAAUGCAGUUUUACUGGUGAUGCGUAGCGGAGACAGUAAAACGGAAAUUUCAACCGUCAAAUCAAAAUUGACGGUGGCAACUCUUCAACUACAGUACUGUUAUUCUGAUUCUAAUGCAAUACAAAAAGAAAUAAUACGUUAGAGGUUGACAAAAUGUAUAAAUUUCACAUACAAAAAAAUCCGCGAAACUUCUUGAAUGAUUUUGGCGCAAAAACGUCAUGGCUAAGUGUGACGUCAUUCAAAUGAAAACUGACAAACUGAAGGUUAUUACGUUACCUCUACGAUUUAAAUUCGGAUAAAAUCACAUUAAAACGGCGAAUUGGUUGUAGGUUUUGUUUUAUUUUCGAUAAUAUUGCAGUAAUCGAACAUUUGUUGAUCCAAUCAAUUCAAAAUGGCGGAUCCCUCCUUAGUUAAGCCUGGUCAACUGUGGAUUUGACGGUAACUUUUAGCCAAUGAAAAAAAUUGUUACAUAAAAAUUGCAUUAGAAUUCAAGUUUUCUUAUCACCACUUAAAUAUUUAUUAGAUUUGCCCCAAUUACAUUAUCUGAAACUUAUCCUAAUGUACACGUGAUUCAUCUAAAAUUACUAUAUUUGGUGUAUGUGGAAGGAUUGGAAUGGAACUCAUGUCCAAGGGUACAUCUGACCCUCGCUUCAUUUUCAUGUUUAAUUGCUGAUGUGUAUUUACAGUUAACUGUUUUACCUGCAAAUUUGCUAUUGAUGCCUUGACCUUAUGAAUUGAUAUUUAUGAGGUUGAAAAUAUCUUUCAUCAAGUUUUAUCUAUAGACAUCAUUUGGUUUGCACAAUUAUAUGUUAUUAAAAAUAACAAGACCCCAAUAAUUGAGGUCUCCAACAAAGUUUGUCUGCUUUAAAAUCAUAAUUGUUGAUUUUAUGCAAAUAAUUUUUCUUUUUUUUUCAGUUAUGUAAAACUGAAAUUU